GUACUUAUACAUUCAUCACACUCUAUUUACUAAGGGUGCUCCGAUUGAUCGGUCACUGAUCGUUAUCGGCCGAUAAAGGCUUUAAAUAGUUUGAUCGGUGGUCUCCAUAAAGGCCGAUCAGAUGGGCCGAUGAGACGCACUACUCGUG
Etheostoma spectabile (orangethroat darter) is the source of this 148-nucleotide long non-coding RNA. RefSeq lists it as uncharacterized. The transcript is spliced from 3 exons. Lineage: Eukaryota; Metazoa; Chordata; Actinopteri; Perciformes; Percidae. The record is from RefSeq and is a predicted model, not a curated record.